UAAUGGAUCUUACUCCGAUGAAUGAGAUUGUAAAAUGAUCAAAAUAUUGGUAUUUUUGUUGCUGUGUGGUAUUUCUAUAUAUCCUGCAUCAGGGAUAUAACUCCAGCCUGCUUUUAUAUUUAUUUGCGAAGGUGAUAGUUUUCUAGGGCAGUGUCGUACUACAGAUCAUGAGGCAUUAACCAAUAUGAAGACUGAGUGCAUGGCAUUAUAGGAUGGGUUUACUACAGAUCAGAACGCACAAGAGAUGUUACUUGCUGCAACCAACUGACUUUAAGAACUCGAUGAAGCAAUCCUCCAGCGUCUUCCUCAGGCCUUUGAAAUUGGGAUACCUGAUCAAAGAGAGAGGGCUGAGAUCCUGAAGGUUGUUUUGAAAGGGUAGAAAAUCGAAAGCAAAAUUGACUUUGACUGCAUAGCAAGUUUGUGUGAGGGCUACACUAGUUCAGAUCUUCUUGAACCUUGCAAGAAAGCAGCUUAUUUUCCUAUUAGGGAGGACCUAUUGGAUGAGGAGAACAGGGGGGGGGGGGGGAUCUAGUGUAAGUAUAUAUUUAUCAUCGUGUUGUUCCAUGCUUCCAUCAGUUAUUUUAUAGUAUAUUGAACAA
Long non-coding RNA from Populus nigra (black poplar), 599 nucleotides. RefSeq lists it as uncharacterized. NCBI's taxonomy places the organism in Eukaryota, Viridiplantae, Streptophyta, Magnoliopsida, Malpighiales, Salicaceae. The record is from RefSeq and is a predicted model, not a curated record. The transcript has 2 exons.